Molecule: ribosomal RNA, 253 nt
Filed under: uncultured bacterium
Lineage: Bacteria
Description: partial 16S ribosomal RNA
Rfam family: Bacterial small subunit ribosomal RNA
Source: RNAcentral
GACAGAGGGGGCAAGCGUUGCUCGGAAUCACUGGGCGUAAAGGGCGCGUAGGCGGGAUGGCAAGUCGGUCGUGAAAUCUCUCGGCUCAACCGAGAAACGUCGGCCGAUACUGCCGUUCUUGAGGGAUGCAGAGGAGAGUGGAAUUCCUGGUGUAGCGGUGAAAUGCGUAGAUAUCCGGAGGAACACCGGUGGCGAAGGCGGCUUCCUGGACCGACACUGACGCUGAGGCGCGAAAGCUAGGGGAGCAAACGGG